AUUGAACGCUGGCGGCAUGCCUUACACAUGCAAGUCGAACGGCAGCACGGGAGCAAUCCUGGUGGCGAGUGGCGAACGGGUGAGUAAAGUAUCGGAACGUGCCCAGUCGUGGGGGAUAACGUAGCGAAAGUUACGCUAAUACCGCAUACGAUCUAUGGAUGAAAGCGGGGGAUCGCAAGACCUCGCGCGAUUGGAGCGGCCGAUAUCAGAUUAGGUAGUUGGUGGGGUAAAGGCUCACCAAGCCGACGAUCUGUAGCUGGUCUGAGAGGACGACCAGCCACACUGGGACUGAGACACGGCCCAGACUCCUACGGGAGGCAGCAGUGGGGAAUUUUGGACAAUGGGCGCAAGCCUGAUCCAGCCAUGCCGCGUGCAGGAUGAAGGCCUUCGGGUUGUAAACUGCUUUUGUACGGAACGAAAAGGUUUGACUUAAUACGUUGGACUCAUGACGGUACCGUAAGAAUAAGCACCGGCUAACUACGUGCCAGCAGCAGCCGCCG
Molecule: ribosomal RNA, 500 nt
Filed under: uncultured bacterium
Lineage: Bacteria
Description: partial 16S ribosomal RNA
Rfam family: Bacterial small subunit ribosomal RNA
Source: RNAcentral